ACGCAGCGGUGUCCCUCGAGAGAGAAAGCUAAAAAGAAAACAACCAGAUGCGGGUUCCUCAGGUGAAACUCUUCAAGCGGUGAUACGAGUAGAAGCGCCAACGGGGAGAGUGAACCGCCUUGGGGAACGCCGCUAAUCUACUACGCUAUAGCUGACACACUCCUAACACACCUCUUCCUCUCUCCUACUCGUCUAAAUACCUUUUUCCUUCCCGCUGCGCCGCUGAAUUUAGAGGGUGGAUAGAGACACAAGGGAAGCAAAGCAUUCAUUGUCAGUGUCAAGGUGAAGGUGGUAGUGUGGUCUUGUGUCACGGGAGGCGUCUGGCAUCGCUCUCCCCGCCACUUAUAUAAAGGCGAGGUGUGCAACUAUGUGUGAUCAAAGCGUCACGGCACCUUGCUGGAGCAACAUGGCUUCAAGGCGGUGCUCAUGUCUUCCUGCUGCUGCUGUGGUGGCGGUGGCGGUGGUGGCGGCAGCGAUGGUGGUGGUGGUGGAGGCGGCUGAGGAGGACGAGGUGGGAGGGAAGACAGUGCGAAUCCCAAAUAUACCAAACUUUCCUAAUCUGGUGAUAGAUCGUGGACCUCUGUUUGGCCUCUUCGGUAACGUCGAGGAGGAAGUGAAGGUAGUGACGUGCGGGGAGACCAGUGAGGCGGCCCAGACAGUGUGGCAGAGUUACCAGUACCCAGAGUGGCAGGCUGACAUUGCUGGCCUGUGCACCCUCACCUACACACCGCCUGAGAACUCCUGCGGCCUGAGGAUACACUUCGUAGACCUAUAUAUGGGUUCCCCGCUGCCCUCCCACCACUCCUCCUGCUCCCACAGUGCACCGUCAUUCAAGGUACACUACAACGGUGCAGUCACUCCCGCCAUCUGCAGUGACGUGACUGGAUAUGAAGCUAUCGUGGAUUUGGACCCCGAAGUGAGCCAGCCGCUGGGGUUUGUGCUGCAGCUUGACACGGAGACAGACUACAAGUUCAGAGUCAACCUCACCGCCGUGGUCUGCUCUGAUUUGCACGCCUACCAGUCCCCCAACACUUGCGGGAUCAAGAACUCUCAAGCAAUUCUAGAGGCUGGAUACGAGACAGUUAGAAACAUAUAUACCAACAAGGAAGAGGAGGAAGUGGUGAAGGAAGAGGACCAGGUAGAGGGGGAGGGGGAGGAGGAGGAGGAGGAAGAGGAGAAGGUUAAGAGACGUGUGAAAAAGAAAGAGGAGGAGGAAGAGGAGAAGUCAUACCGUCAAGAAAAGGGGAUGUGGGAUGAAGAUUUGGAGGAGGAGGACGAAGAGGAGGAGGAGGUGGAGAGCCAGAGGGAGCCACGUCGCCGCAGGAAAAAUAACCGCAAGAAAGAAGCGAUGGUGAAGAAACUGCGAAAGAAAACGGAUGUCCUCUCGCAAGCCUUAGCUUCCGGAAUUGAGGCAGGCAUCGUCGGCCUUACCAAUGAUGAACGCCUUCGCCGCCAGCCGUGGAGGGAAUCGGUCCCAAGCAUCUGGCCGUGGAUGGUGAGCAUUGAGAGGAAGGUGCUGCGUAACGUCGGGAUCUCUGAUAAGCUGCAGGUGGAUCGCUCAGCCUCGCAAUGGUGCACGGGCGUCCUGCUUGACCAUUACCACGUGCUUACCGCGGCCUCCUGCGUCCUGCCCAGUGACAGGAACAACAUGGUACGAGUGAAAGACUUGAAGGUGUUGGUAGGACAAGACCAGACCUCCUCAUCUUCCUCGUCCGCCUCUCGCCGCAGCGGGUCGCAGCAACAUCAAAGCACAAACGGUCUCGGUGUGUCCAGAGUCUCCUUCCCUCUCCAAUACAACCCAGACCUCCGCAGCGACAAUCUGGCAGUCCUUGCCCUUGAACAUCCCAUUAGUUACAGCACGACGGCCCGGCCUGUGUGUCUGCCGGCGCAGUACAACAGGUUCCCGCGUAACAAUGGCUUCGUGUCUGGAUACGUGAAGGAAUCAGAGAGUAAGAGCAGAGAAAACCAACGCUCAUCGUCCAGGACACUCGUGGAGACUGACCUCAAUGUGCUGAGUCGAAGUGAGUGUUCUGACAGACUCUCCAACCUGCCGUACCGGAGUCAGCGCCUGCAGGAAACCAUGGCGCGGCAGAGGCUGGUGUGCACGCGAGGGAUACGCACUCGGAACGCGCCACUCUGCCAGCUGGAGACAGGGGCGCUGCUCAUCCGGAGAGACCGCGGUCAACUUCACUACCUCGCGGGCGUGAUGGGCGGCGAGGAACAAUGCGGCGUGGACUUCCCCAAUGUGUUCAGCGAGGUGCCACUGUCCUCAGCCUUCCUCAACCUUGCACUUGCCCCUCGCACCUAAAUAUCCUGGGAAACAACUCUCUAUUCAUCACUCCGUCGCUGUUGUUGUCGUUGUAGCUCUCUCUCUCUCUCUCUCUCUCUCUCUCUCUCUCUCUCUCUCUCUCU
RNAcentral lists this unclassified non-coding RNA (2412 nucleotides) under Portunus trituberculatus (swimming crab). RNAcentral's name for it is "uncharacterized LOC123517924, transcript variant X1". Lineage: Eukaryota; Metazoa; Arthropoda; Malacostraca; Decapoda; Portunidae. The record is from RNAcentral.